CAGAAACAGAUCAGUAACACACAGAAACCCUCAGAUGGAGAAUGAGGAGUGUUUUCUACAGUGUUUUUUAGUCUGAUCUGGAUGUGAGUUUCUGGCAGGUGUUCACUCCACCAUGAAUGUGUUUGAGGAGAGUGAGGAGGGAGUCGGUACCUCUGAAGUGUCUAACAAACACUACAGCCAGACUGGAGCUGAGAGCCUAGUGAAGCAGGAGAGACCAGACUCACCUGUACCCAGCCAUGUAUCCAUGAAGAGCAACCAAUCUAUGUUUGAGCCUGAGGUUUUCAAGGAUGGAGACCACUCGGACAAGUCAAUGUAAG
This is a long non-coding RNA of Morone saxatilis (striped sea-bass), 317 nucleotides long. RefSeq lists it as uncharacterized. The transcript is spliced from 3 exons. NCBI's taxonomy places the organism in Eukaryota, Metazoa, Chordata, Actinopteri, Moronidae. The record is from RefSeq and is a predicted model, not a curated record.